Long non-coding RNA from Diuraphis noxia (Russian wheat aphid), 928 nucleotides. The record is from RefSeq and is a predicted model, not a curated record. NCBI's taxonomy places the organism in Eukaryota, Metazoa, Arthropoda, Insecta, Hemiptera, Aphididae.
UCUCGUCGUCGUCGGUGGGGACGGUGAACUCUCGCCGCCGGAGUGUCGCGCGCCCGGCCGGCACGCGAGACGAUUGCCGAGCCGCAGUACGCGAAACACGUUCGACCGGGUCGGCGGUGGCGGACGACGCGAAAAUUUUCACGACACGUGCGACUUCGAGCCUAUACACGACGAGAUAUCAUAAUAUUAUUAUUGUUAUUUUUUUGUCAUAUAAUUAUAUUAUUAUUACGCCCACGCGGUAUAAUAGAAAUUCGCAGUUAUCACGCGAAUUACGUUAUAAUCUGGUUGCGUUAUCAUAGUAAAUAAAUUAUAUACAUUUUAAACAAUAAUAAUAUAUAUGUAUCGGUUUUCAUAACCGUCAACAGGAAUCGACGCGACACAUUCGUUUUUUAUAUCGCGUGUUUUAUUUCCGCCGUCGCGAAAAUCUCGACCAAUUUGGUUUCAGUGCGAUUUAAAAUCAAUUUUUUUUUUAACGCCAAUUAACGAAAUCCGUCUGUCCGGUCAAUCAUCGCUAUAAUAAUAAUAAUAUUAUAAUAUACGUAUACCUAGCUACUACUGCUUCUCCGCAGCAAACGAUUUAUUACUAAUAUUAUACAAUUGAAUCGGCGACGACCAGCUAAAACGAGAUAGGAUUUGUUUGCUUGUAGAUACGUGGUCGUUUGUCAAACACGUGAAAUCUGACCUCGCUACAUCAUUUUGUCGUAUAUUGAUGCCACACGCUUGUGACCGCGACGAUACACAGAAUGGAGGUUAUUCCUCUGAUACGGAGUUCAGCCACCGGUUCGGAUGCGUCCAAAGGUGAUAACGGCAUCAAAAGACACGUCCAAGAAUGGUCGAGACUCGACAGGUUGACCGGAAUCUUGGAGCACGCCAGAGUCGAAGCGGACCAAUGGACCAAUCACACUGCCAACACUAAACACAAAUAUGG